CUCUUUAGAAAGAGUUUCAGGCUGGUUUUUGGAAAAAUGAGAGAGAAGUUGUAGUUUUUCUAGGUGGCUCCCAUUUUGGCUGUAGUGUUUCCAAGCGCGUGGAGGAAAGCGCAUUCUUUGUUAUUUAUCUCCGGUAAAGACAAUAACGAUUCUCCGUCUUAAAUUUUAUUGUUUAUUUGCGUAUUAUGGUACCUAAGGUUUGAUUAUAAACGUUGAUUGACUUGUUUGGAUAGGUUUAUUGGUAACAUUUAGGAUUCAUUUUGUAUGCAUUUUGAAGGAGGGAAAACGUUGGAUUAUUGACUGAAGCGCACCAGCUAAACUGAGUUUUUAUGGAUAUAAGGAAGGACUUUAUUGAACAAAAGGACCAUUUGGGACCAAAAGGACCAUUUGUAAUGAGACCUUUUGGAGUGCCAACAGAAGAAGAUCUUCAAAGAUCAAGGUGGGGACGGUUGCACCCCCUGUUUCUGAGACACUUCCAACCACCAACAUGCCCCCUCCUGAGUAUGAGGAGGAGGUUACCUCCUCCUCACACUGACUUCAUCAAGCUCGGACCUGAGCCCUAGGACCAUGCCUCAGGACUACCUGGCUUGAUGACUCCUUGCUGUCCCCAGUUCACCUGGCCGUGCUGCUGCUCCAGUUCCAACUGUUCUGCCUGCAGCUAUGGAACCCUGACCUGUUCACCGGACGUGCUACCUGUCCCAGACCUGUUGUCCCAGACCUGCUGGAACCCUGACCUAUUCACCGGACGUGCUACCUGUCCCAGACCUGCUGUUUUCAACUCUCUAGAGACAGCAGGAGCGGUGGAGAUACUCUCAAAGAUCGCCUAUGAAAAAGCCAACUGACACUUACUCUUGUGUUACUGACUUGUUGCACCCUCGACAACUACUAUGAUUAUUAUUAUUUGACAAUGCUGGUCAUUUAUGAACAUUUGAACAUCUAGGCCAUGUGCUGUUAUAAUCUCCACCCGGCACAGCCAGAAGAGGACUGGCCACCCCUCAUAGCCUGGUUCCUCUCUAGGUUUCUUCCUAGGUUUUGGCCUUUCUAGGGAGU
RNAcentral lists this long non-coding RNA (1050 nucleotides) under Salmo salar (Atlantic salmon). Its description in RNAcentral is "lncRNA (ENSSSAG00000119775.1)". The record is from RNAcentral. Lineage: Eukaryota; Metazoa; Chordata; Actinopteri; Salmoniformes; Salmonidae.